RNAcentral lists this ribosomal RNA (343 nucleotides) under uncultured bacterium. RNAcentral describes it as "partial 16S ribosomal RNA". It matches the Rfam family "Bacterial small subunit ribosomal RNA", at positions 338 to 678 of the family's 1533-position model. The record is from RNAcentral.
CCUACGGGUGGCAGCAGUGAGGAAUAUUGGUCAAUGGACGAGAGUCUGAACCAGCUAAGUAGCGUGAAGGAUGACUGCCCUAUGGGUUGUAAACUUCUUUUAUAAAGGCAUAAAACGAGGCACGUGUGCCUUUUUGCAUGUACUUUAUGAAUAAGCAUCGGCUAACUCCGUGCCAGCAGCCGCGGUAAUACAGAGGUUCCGAGCGUUAUCAUGAUUUAUUGGGUUGAACGUGCGCGUAGAUGUGUUGUUAAGUCAGUUGUGAACGUUUGCGGCUCAACCGUAAGAUUGCAAUUGAUACUGGCAGUCGUGAGUACAGUUGAGGUAGGCGGAAUUCGUGGUGGAG